RNAcentral lists this ribosomal RNA (203 nucleotides) under Clostridioides difficile. RNAcentral's name for it is "partial 16S ribosomal RNA". It matches the Rfam family "Bacterial small subunit ribosomal RNA", at positions 889 to 1089 of the family's 1533-position model. Lineage: Bacteria; Bacillati; Bacillota; Clostridia; Peptostreptococcales; Peptostreptococcaceae. The record is from RNAcentral.
CAAGAGUGAAACUCAAAGGAAUUGACGGGGACCCGCACAAGUAGCGGAGCAUGUGGUUUAAUUCGAAGCAACGCGAAGAACCUUACCUAAGCUUGACAUCCUAAUGACAUCUCCUUAAUCGGAGAGUUCCCUUCGGGGACAUUGGUGACAGGUGGUGCAUGGUUGUCGUCAGCUCGUGUCGUGAGAUGUUGGGUUAAGUCCCG